GCAAGUCGAACGGUGGCACGGGUGCUUGCACCUGGUGGCGAGUGGCGAACGGGUGAGUAAUACAUCGGAACGUACCUUAUCGUGGGGAAUAACGCAGCGAAAGCUGUGCUAAUACCGCAUAAUCCCUAAGGGGGAAAGCUGGGGAACGAAAGACUUCGCGCGAUUAGAGCAGCCUGUGUCUGAUUAGCUUGUUUGUGGAGUAAAAGCCCACCAAGGCGACGAUCAGUAGCUGGUCUGAGAGGACGAUC
RNAcentral lists this ribosomal RNA (248 nucleotides) under uncultured bacterium. Its description in RNAcentral is "partial 16S ribosomal RNA". It matches the Rfam family "Bacterial small subunit ribosomal RNA", at positions 57 to 305 of the family's 1533-position model. The record is from RNAcentral.